RNAcentral lists this ribosomal RNA (185 nucleotides) under Flavobacteriales bacterium. RNAcentral's name for it is "partial 16S ribosomal RNA". It matches the Rfam family "Bacterial small subunit ribosomal RNA", at positions 1 to 175 of the family's 1533-position model. The record is from RNAcentral. Lineage: Bacteria; Pseudomonadati; Bacteroidota; Flavobacteriia; Flavobacteriales.
UUUAUACAACGAAGAGUUUGAUCCUGGCUCAGGAUGAACGCUAGCGGCAGGCCUAACACAUGCAAGUCGAACGGUAACAGGAAGAGCUUGCUCUUCGCUGACGAGUGGCGCACGGGUGCGUAACGCGUAUACAAUCUGCCUCUAACUAAGGGAUAGCCCAGAGAAAUUUGGAUUAAUACCUUAUA